Molecule: ribosomal RNA, 369 nt
Filed under: uncultured bacterium
Lineage: Bacteria
Description: bacterial SSU rRNA
Rfam family: Bacterial small subunit ribosomal RNA
Source: RNAcentral
GGGCCCGCACAAGCGGUGGAGCAUGUGGUUUAAUUCGAUGAUACGCGAGGAACCUUACCAGGGCUUAAAUGUAGUGGGACAGGUCUAGAGAUAGACCCUUCUUCGGACUCAUUACAAGGUGCUGCAUGGUUGUCGUCAGCUCGUGCCGUGAGGUGUCAGGUUAAGUCCUAUAACGAGCGCAACCCCCUAUCGUUAGUUGCCAGCGAGUAAUGUCGGGAACUCUAACGAAACUGCCAGUGCAAACUGUGAGGAAGGUGGGAUGACGUCAAAUCAUCACGGCCCUUACGUCCUGGGCUACACACGUGCUACAAUGGCCGGUACAGAGAGCAGCCACUUCGCAAGAAGGAGCGAAUCCUUAAAACCGGUCUC